UGGGGAAUAUUGCACAAUGGGCGCAAGCCUGAUGCAGCCAUGCCGCGUGUAUGAAGAAGGCCUUCGGGUUGUAAAGUACUUUCAGCGGGGAGGAAGGCGAUAAGGUUAAUAACCUUGUCGAUUGACGUUACCCGCAGAAGAAGCACCGGCUAACUCCGUGCCAGCAGCCGCGGUAAUACGGAGGGUGCAAGCGUUAAUCGGAAUUACUGGGCGUAAAGCGCACGCAGGCGGUCUGUCAAGUCGGAUGUGAAAUCCCCGGGCUCAACCUGGGAACUGCAUUCGAAACUGGCAGGCUAGAGUCUUGUAGAGGGGGGUAGAAUUCCAGGUGUAGAGGUGAAAUGCGUAGAGAUCUGGAGGAAUACCGGUGGCGAAGGCGGCCCCCUGGACAAAGACUGACGCUCAGGUGCGAAAGCGUGGGGAGCAAACA
Molecule: ribosomal RNA, 427 nt
Filed under: uncultured bacterium
Lineage: Bacteria
Description: partial 16S ribosomal RNA
Rfam family: Bacterial small subunit ribosomal RNA
Source: RNAcentral